AUAUCAAUAAGGCGAGGAACAGAAACCAACAGGGAUUCCCUCAGUAGUGGCGAAUGAAGCGGGAAAAGCUCAAGUUUGAAAUCUGGUUAUAAAUCAGAGUUGUAAGCUGAUGAGGCGUCGACCGACGCGGUUCGGGCUCAAUUUCCUUGGAAUAGGAGGUCAUAGAGGGUGAGAACCCCGUCUGUGGCUCGAGUGCCGUCGUCUUUGUGUCGUGCCCUCUAAGAGUCGGGUUGUUUGGGAAUGCAGCUCAAAAUGGGUGGUAAAUUUCAUCUAAAGCUAAAUACUGGCGAGAGACCGAUAGCGAACAAGUAGAGUGAUCUAAAGAUGAAAAGUACUUUGAAAAGAGAGUGAAAUAGUAC
Molecule: ribosomal RNA, 359 nt
Filed under: uncultured fungus
Lineage: Eukaryota; Fungi
Description: eukaryotic LSU rRNA
Rfam family: Eukaryotic large subunit ribosomal RNA
Source: RNAcentral